UAUGUAGGCAGCAAGCGUUGUUCGGAAUUACUGGGCGUAAAGAGUGUGUAGGCGGUGCUCUAAGUUCGGUGUGAAAUCUCCCGGCUUAACUGGGAGGGUGCGCCGGAAACUGGAGUGCUCGAGCGUGGGAGAGGAAAGCGGAAUUCCUGGUGUAGCGGUGAAAUGCGUAGAUAUCAGGAGGAAGACCAGUGGCGAAGGCGGGUCUCUGGACAGUUCCUGACACUGAGGCACGAAGGCCAGGGGAGCAAACGGG
Molecule: ribosomal RNA, 253 nt
Filed under: uncultured bacterium
Lineage: Bacteria
Description: partial 16S ribosomal RNA
Rfam family: Bacterial small subunit ribosomal RNA
Source: RNAcentral